RNAcentral lists this unclassified non-coding RNA (137 nucleotides) under uncultured fungus. Its description in RNAcentral is "sequence contains ITS1, 5.8S rRNA gene". Lineage: Eukaryota; Fungi. The record is from RNAcentral.
AAGAGUUAUAGGGUGCAAACCCGAACCUCCAACCCUUUGUUGUAAUUGACUAGUUGCCUUGCCCUGGUGCUCGCGCCGGGGCAAUGGACCUAUAAACUCGAAUAUCAGUGUAGUCUGAGCUUAAAUUCAAUGAAUUA